GAUGAACGCUGGCGGCGUGCCUAAUACAUGCAAGUCGAGCGAACAGACGAGGAGCUUGCUUCUUUGACGUUAGCGGCGGACGGGUGAGUAACACGUGGAUAACCUACCUAUAAGACUGGGAUAACUUCGGGAAACCGGAGCUAAUACCGGAUAAUAUUUUGAACCGCAUGGUUCGAUAGUGAAAGACGGCCUUGCUGUCACUUAUAGAUGGAUCUGCGCUGUAUUAGCUAGUUGGUGAGGUAACGGCUUACCAAGGCAACGAUGCGUAGCCGACCUGAGAGGGGGAUCGGCCACAUUGGAACGGGGACAGGGUCCAGACUCCUGCGGGAGGCAGCAGUAGGGAAUCUUCCGCAAUGGGCGAAAGCCUGACGGAGCAAGGCCGCGUGAGUGAUGAAGGUCUUCGGAUCGGAAAACUCUGUUAUUAGGGAAGAACAUAUGUGUAAGUAACUGUGCACAUCUUGACGGUACCUAAUCAGAAAGCCACGGCUAACUACGUG
Molecule: ribosomal RNA, 497 nt
Filed under: uncultured bacterium
Lineage: Bacteria
Description: partial 16S ribosomal RNA
Rfam family: Bacterial small subunit ribosomal RNA
Source: RNAcentral